CUGCUGGUAAAGGUCAUUACGUAUUACUUUACUUACCGGAGGAAAAGAAACCAACAGGGAUUGCCUCAGUAACGGCGAGUGAAGCGGCAACAGUUCAAAUUUGAAAUCUGGCCCCAGGCCCGAGUUGUAAUUUGAAGAGGAUGUUUCUGGCGAGGUGCCUUCCGAGUGCCCUGGAACGGGACGCCAUAGAGGGUGAGAGCCCCGUACGGUUGGUCGCUAAGCCUCUGUGAAACUCCUUCGACGAGUCGAGUAGUUUGGGAAUGCUGCUCUAAAUGGGAGGUAUACGUCUUCUAAAGCUAAAUACCGGCCAGAGACCGAUAGCGCACAAGUAGAGUGAUCGAAAGAUGAAAAGCACUUUGAAAAGAGGGUUAAAUAGUACGUGAAAUUGUUGAAAGGGAAGCGCUCAUGACCAGACUUGGGCCGGUUGAUCAUCCGCCGUUCUCGGCGGUGCACUCUGCCGGCUCAGGCCAGCAUCAGUUUGGUCCGGGGGAUAAAGGCGUAGGGAAUGUGGCUCCCCCCGGGGAGUGUUAUAGCCCUGCGCGUAAUACCCUGGGCUGGACUGAGGUUCGCGCAUCUGCAAGGAUGCUGGCGUAAUGGUUAUCAGUGACCCGUCUUGAAACACGGACCAAGGAGUCGUCUUCGUAUGCGAGUGUUCGGGUGUCAAACCCCUACGCGUAAUGAAAGUGAACGUAGGAGAGAGCUUCGGCGCAUCUCCGACCGAUCCUGAUGUUCUCGGAUGGAUUUGAGUAAGAGCAUACGGGGCCGGACCCGAAAGAAGGUGAACUAUGCCUGUAUAGGGUGAAGCCAGAGGAAACUCUGGUGGAGGCUCGCAGCGGUUCUGACGUGCAAAUCGAUCGUCAAAUAUGGGCAUGGGGGCGAAAGACUAAUCGAACCUUCUAGUAGCUGGUUUCCGCCGAAGUUUCCCUCAGGAUAGCAGUGUUGAACUCAGUUUUAUGAGGUAAAGCGAAUGAUUAGGGACUCGGGGG
RNAcentral lists this ribosomal RNA (986 nucleotides) under Heleococcum japonense. RNAcentral's name for it is "LSU rRNA". It matches the Rfam family "Eukaryotic large subunit ribosomal RNA", at positions 1 to 1035 of the family's 3401-position model. Lineage: Eukaryota; Fungi; Ascomycota; Sordariomycetes; Hypocreales; Bionectriaceae. The record is from RNAcentral.